Molecule: long non-coding RNA, 369 nt
Filed under: Physcomitrium patens
Lineage: Eukaryota; Viridiplantae; Streptophyta; Bryopsida; Funariales; Funariaceae
Description: long non-coding RNA (PPAT_LNC008020)
Source: RNAcentral
CAUGUAUAGAAAACUUGCUUUGUAAGUUAAAACAUGUGUCUUGAAAAUUGGAUAUAUGUGGGAGGUUCUGUAGAACAUUACCAUGUAGUUCUUUAGUAGAUAGUAUAUAUAAAAACAAGAGUGAAGCCUUCUUUACUUUUAUCAACUCCUUUCUUGUUAUUAGUUUAGUUUCAAGUGUUUCUUGUUUUUUAGCUUUUCACAGUAAUCAUUCUAGUUUCUUAUGAAAUUUAUUUACUUUCUUAUUUCUAGUUUGUCAACUUUCUUUGAUUCAUUUCUCACUUAUUCAUGUAUCUUCUUUGAAUUCUUGUCCCUAAUAUGAUGUUUAAUACACUUUUUUUCAUUUAAUUUAAAGCCUUAAUAAAAAAUUAA